GAUGAAGAACGUAGCGAAAUGCGAUACGUAAUGUGAAUUGCAGAAUUCAGUGAAUCAUCGAGUCUUUGAACGCACAUUGCGCCCCCUGGUAUUCCGGGGGGCAUGCCUGUCCGAGCGUCAUUGCUGCCCUCAAGCACGGCUUGUGUGUUGGGCCUCCGUCCUCCUCCCGGGGGACGGGCCCGAAAGGCAGCGGCGGCACCGCGUCCGGUCCUCGAGCGUAUGGGGCUUCGUCACCCGCUCUUGUAGGCCCGGCCGGCGCUUGCCGACACAUCAAUCUUUUUCCAGGUUGACCUCGGAUCAGGUAGGGAUACCCGCUGAACUUAAGCAUAUCAAUAAGCGGAGGA
This 344-nucleotide unclassified non-coding RNA is filed under the name soil metagenome. Its description in RNAcentral is "partial contains 5.8S ribosomal RNA, internal transcribed spacer 2, and large subunit ribosomal RNA". The stretch from base 1 to 120 matches the Rfam family "5.8S ribosomal RNA", at positions 35 to 154 of the family's 154-position model. The record is from RNAcentral.